GACGAACGCUGGCGGCGUGCCUAAUACAUGCAAGUAGAACGCACAGUUUAUACCGUAGCUUGCUACACCAUAGACUGUGAGUUGCGAACGGGUGAGUAACGCGUAGGUAACCUGCCUGGUAGCGGGGGAUAACUAUUGGAAACGAUAGCUAAUACCGCAUAAUAUUAAUUAUUGCAUGAUAAUUGAUUGAAAGAUGCAACUGCAUCACUACCAGAUGGACCUGCGUUGUAUUAGCUAGUAGGUGAGGUAACGGCUCACCUAGGCGACGAUACAUAGCCGACCUGAGAGGGUGAUCGGCCACACUGGGACUGAGACACGGCCCAGACUCCUACGGGAGGCAGCAGUAGGGAAUCUUCGGCAAUGGACGAAAGUCUGACCGAGCAACGCCGCGUGUGUGAAGAAGGUUUUCGGAUCGUAAAGCUCUGUUGUAAGAGAAGAACGGGUGUGAGAGUGGAAAGUUCACACUGUGACGGUAUCUGACCAGAAAGGGACGGCUAACUACGUG
This 505-nucleotide ribosomal RNA is filed under the name uncultured bacterium. RNAcentral's name for it is "partial 16S ribosomal RNA". It matches the Rfam family "Bacterial small subunit ribosomal RNA", at positions 28 to 507 of the family's 1533-position model. The record is from RNAcentral.